UGGGGAAUAUUGCACAAUGGGCGCAAGCCUGAUGCAGCCAUGCCGCGUGUAUGAAGAAGGCCUUCGGGUUGUAAAGUACUUUCAGCGGGGAGGAAGGCGAUAAGGUUAAUAACCUUGUCGAUUGACGUUACCCGCAGAAGAAGCACCGGCUAACUCCGUGCCAGCAGCCGCGGUAAUACGGAGGGUGCAAGCGUUAAUCGGAAUUACUGGGCGUAAAGCGCACGCAGGCGGUUGAUUGAGUCAGAUGUGAAAUCCCCGGGCUUAACCCGGGAAUUGCAUCUGAUACUGGUCAGCUAGAGUCUUGUAGAGGGGGGUAGAAUUCCAUGUGUAGCGGUGAAAUGCGUAGAGAUGUGGAGGAAUACCGGUGGCGAAGGCGGCCCCCUGGACAAAGACUGACGCUCAGGUGCGAAAGCGUGGGGAGCAAACAGG
RNAcentral lists this ribosomal RNA (429 nucleotides) under Chloroflexota bacterium. Its description in RNAcentral is "Chloroflexi bacterium partial 16S ribosomal RNA". It matches the Rfam family "Bacterial small subunit ribosomal RNA", at positions 355 to 776 of the family's 1533-position model. Lineage: Bacteria; Bacillati; Chloroflexota. The record is from RNAcentral.